Molecule: long non-coding RNA, 318 nt
Filed under: Anas platyrhynchos platyrhynchos (common mallard)
Lineage: Eukaryota; Metazoa; Chordata; Aves; Anseriformes; Anatidae
Description: lncRNA (ENSAPLG00000023354.1)
Source: RNAcentral
AAAAAGACAUAAUUAGGAAACAAAAUGUAGCGCAAACAAACAAAAAUGUAAAGACAAGCUCAUCAAAGAACUGGCCACUACAGGAAGAAACAUUGAAACAUUUCAUUCAUGAGUGGGAUCAAAUUUGCUUAAUUCCUGCCAAGUCUCCACCAGAAAAGGAAUUUCCAACAGCCACUGGAGAUAAAGAUGAAAAAAGAUAAUCACAGAAUUGCAAGGGACCUCAAGAGAUCAUCAGGUCCAACUGCCCUGACAAAGGAAGUUCCCUAGAGCAAGUUGCACGGGUAAAUAUAUUUGUGAAAAUAUAUAAUAUAUAUUAAU